GGAGGGAUGAGGGGAGAGAGGGUGCUUGGGCCUGUGUUGGCCCUGGGCCCUCAUGAUUCCAGAUGCCCAGGGGAUGCAUGGUACACCACCAGAAAGAGUCCCUAUGCUCAGCCCCAACCCAGGAGGCAGACAGAGCCCAGGAGGCAAGUCAAGAGGAGAGGGGCCUGGGGAACCUCUCCCAUUCUGCUGGGUGGAACCUCAUGGGGGCCAAAGGAAGUUAGAUCUUAGUGGGUCCAGGAGAGGAGAUUUCUAUAAUUCCAUAAAGUCCUACUGUGCUCAGAUCAGAUGCUCUUUGGCCACUGAAGUGGAAAAAAUGCAGUCCCGCUCCACCCACCCAAGGUCAGAGCAAAAAACCAUGAGGUCACAGCUAUGCAAAGAGCUCUCCUGUGGGAAGGCUCACCCUCCACCUCCUGGGAGGCUCCUGCCUUCAGGGGCCAUGCAAGUUAGGAGCAGCUGACCCCAUCCUCCAGGGGCUGGACUGUGGGUGAGGGGCUGGUUGGGUUGCCUCUGCCAGACAGGCUCACUCACCAAGGAGAGUUGGGGCCCUGUAAUCAGAACCAGCUGCACCUCCCUUGUGCUGGGGGGAUGGGGGAAUGUGUCUACAGGAAAAGGCCCCAUGGGCCUAGCUCACAUGACCUUGUCAGGAAAGACCUGCUGCAGCCUUUCCUAUCACAGU
RNAcentral lists this long non-coding RNA (676 nucleotides) under Marmota monax (woodchuck). The record is from RNAcentral. Lineage: Eukaryota; Metazoa; Chordata; Mammalia; Rodentia; Sciuridae.